This is a long non-coding RNA of Equus caballus (horse), 744 nucleotides long. RefSeq lists it as uncharacterized. NCBI's taxonomy places the organism in Eukaryota, Metazoa, Chordata, Mammalia, Perissodactyla, Equidae. The record is from RefSeq and is a predicted model, not a curated record.
AUUUUUUUUAUUUGUGCUUUUCACUUGUUAUUUGAUUUUUCAUAAGUAAGCUUCAAAAGAGUUUGUUUUCCUGUUGAAAAUCUAUGAGUUUUCACCGUAAACGGUAAACAGGGGUAGAACAUACAAAGUAACCUAGCAACAAUCCGAAUUCCAUCCACAUUCCUGGCCUAUCCUCUGGUUCUACAGGAAAGAGCCAUUCAACCCAGGAACAGACAAGAAAGAGAGCUGAAACCUUUGUGACAAUGCUGGAAAAUUAGCAAUGAGUGAAGUAUUAUACAACAACACGGUUUUGCUUUUUAGAAGCUCCUGGUUUUUUAAAGUUUGGUAGACAAGGUGACAACAAAAUGACUGUGGGCUCUGGCAACAUGGAAGUCUUUGGGGACAUUGACAAGAGUUACUUCAGAGACGUGGUGGGGACAAAAGCCUGAUGGGAGCGCAUUCAAGGGAGACUGGAAGGAAGAGGAAGUCCUUUUCCUUGCUUCCUAUAUGGAGGCAGAUAAUGUUUUUUAAAACAAACACAUGCCUACUUUAUAGGACUGCUUUAAUGUCAUCUACUGAAUAAUUUUAUAUUCAUGAAGUACUUUGAGCUCCUCAGGAAAUCUUUUUAAAAAAUGAAUAAAGAAAGAACUAGCUAUUUCUUUAACUCAUUCCAAGACUGAGUGAAACUUUUCAUUGUGAUUGAGGAAUAAGCAUUAAACAAAUAAUCUCAGAUUGAGACGUGUCACGAUGAUAGCUUUAUGUCUC